UUUUGGCGCUCAUUGAUGGAGAAUACGCAUGGCAGAAUAAAGAGGUUCCUUUAAGUGACUGCGUAAUAUUAAAAGACAAGUAAAAAAAAAAAAAGAUGGGGCUUAAAAUAAAUAAAAAAAAAAAGAAAAAAAGAGGGCUUUUUCGAACUUGAGGUAGCGCAGGAAUGGCUGUUUUUUUUUUUUCCGAAAAAAAGCCUUCUGCGAGGGGGCUGAAAUCCCGGCUGCCGGGGACGGAAGCGGCGAUAAAAGCGUCCGUUGCGGGGCCAGAGAACAAACCCCGCGACGGCUGACCGGUUACGGGUGCGGCAGAGCGCGGUGCUGCCGCCGCCGGGGCAGAGCGGAGCGAUGAGGGAAGCGAAACCUCCGCCUCCAGCGCUGGCGGGGACUGCGGAGCGGGAAGCGGCCAUUACCCUCCCCCCGCCCCGGCCCCGCGCGGCACCGCGGGCUUUUCAAAUCCCUCCCACGGCCCAAUGGGAUGUGCGCCGUCCCGCCAGCCAAUCACAGGGCGGUGCGGGCUAUAAAUAGCGGGCCCCGCCACCGCUCUCUCCGCAGACUCUCGUCUCUCUCACUCGCUGCCCAGUGGCCUUUACAGGGGAAGAUGGCGCGCACGAAGCAGACGGCGCGUAAGUCGACGGGCGGGAAGGCGCCCCGCAAGCAGCUGGCCACCAAGGCGGCCCGCAAGAGCGCGCCGGCCACGGGCGGCGUGAAGAAGCCGCACCGCUACCGGCCCGGCACGGUGGCGCUGCGCGAGAUCCGGCGCUACCAGAAGUCGACGGAGCUGCUGAUCCGCAAACUGCCCUUCCAGCGCCUGGUGCGCGAGAUCGCGCAGGACUUCAAGACCGACCUGCGCUUCCAGAGCUCGGCCGUCAUGGCGCUGCAGGAGGCCAGCGAGGCCUACCUGGUGGGGCUCUUCGAGGACACCAACCUCUGCGCCAUCCACGCCAAGCGCGUCACCAUCAUGCCCAAGGACAUCCAGCUGGCCCGACGCAUCCGCGGCGAGCGCGCUUAAGCUUCUGGCCGAAGGGAUCUCUCAAGACUUGCGAAAACCCAAAGGCUCUUUUAAGAGCCACCACUUGGCCACUUAAGAGAGCUGUAAACUCCUAAUUCUCUGUAGGAAGUAGUAUAAUCCCACAUCCUUUUCCGGUAGUCUUACAGCGACCAAGAACCCCCGUAUCUCAUCAAGAGAGGCUGAACUGAUGAAUGCUGCCGGGUAGGACCUGGCUCUGUGUAUGACCAGUUUGGGCUGCCUCACAAGUGAAUCACCUGUUGGUUACAGUCUCCAGUAACCACAAACUGAAGUCUGAUCAGGUUUCCCAUUGGCUUGGGCAGUCCUGUCUUGCUGCAUCCUUUCUUCUCUCCCACGUUCAGGUCAUGUUGUAUCUUCAGCUGGAUAUAAUAAGCAUCUUUCAGAUUGUACAUGUAGAAAAAUUGCUGUCACAAAAGUGUGAACAUUUGCUAAGUUCUUGUAUUGUAUGUAGGUGAGCUUUUGGAAGUUCUGUUUGUCAGCUACUAUGAAGCAAUAGUGAAAAGGGAAUCUCUAUUCUCAGCAAGGUGUAACUGAAGUACAAAUGGUUAACAACAAAAAGGCAACCUCCUCAAGGAAUAUAAUAUCUAAAUCAAUGCUAACCAAAACCAAAUUUUAUAAAAACAGCUGAUAGUUGAAAACUGUAAGCUCAAUUUGAUAUCUUGGCUUAAGGAGUCAAAAUCUUCUAACUAUAAAAUGAUGGAGUUAUAGUGUUCUGUAGAUUGUAGAAGAUGUGUUCCCCUAGAAGUUCUAAAACUGGAUCCAACAGGCAUUUCCACACCUUUUUAAAAGUUAGGAAAAUAUACAGUGUGUAGACCACAAAGAUUUGUAGAACAUACUGCUUGCCAGCACAUCAAAUUCUUUGUAACGUGGAAGUUCAGGAGAUAUUUCUAGUCUCCUUAAUCUCCUUCAUCCAUGAACGGCUCUUGCUUGUAGGACAGCACUGUGGGGAAACGCCAAAGCAUCCAGGUUGCAUUCUGUGUGAAAACUCACUUCCCACUGUAGGAGUGUCCCAGGUGACAGAACAGAGCUGCAGUGUGCGGCACCGGUACAAGGGACACCUUCCUAACUUUUGGUGAACACUUUGCUAUUCUGCAACUGGCAAAUUCUGAAGUCUUAACUUGCCUCAGAAAAGACCGAUGGCCUUUACCAUUCUGAGUUACUCAUACAACGUUAAUAACUGAAACAGUGAGCUGUGAAAAGAUUCACAUUUGUCUGGAAAUGUCAGGGGGGAACCCUCCACAGACUCACGGAAAUCUGGAAAUAAGUAGUAUAUGCAAGCACUGGAAAGAAGAGCAGAAGAAUAGUUUUAAGUAUGGAGAGUGUCAAUUGCACCUAAACAGCAGGUAAUCAGGAUCAUGAAGUAUCUACCUGCAGCUUUUCUGGGACACCCAGGUGUGAAAACAAAUCACAGCAUAAAACAAGGAACAUUAUAAACUAAAGCAAUUGAGGGAAGAUGAGAGGAAGAUAAUGAUCAGUCCUGAACCAAUAAGGCAUUCAGAAAUGGAGACAGCACUUGGUAGGUAAAUUCUAAUGGUCACAGAAGUGUUAGAGUUUGGAGACACAGAAGGAUAGAUUUUCUUUUAGGUCCUAAAACGGACGAGAGGCUGUUCAAAGAAGAGCACAUUAUAGCUGACACCUCCUCCUCCCUGGAGACCUGCUGAGGGCCCGUAGCACACAUUCCUUGUCCUGUCUGUCCUUGCAAGCAAUCCUGGCCUGUCCUUUUGCAAACUUGGUCUUUUGAGUGUGUAUGUUAAGAUGCACGACUGCAUCCACCACCUUCCCUUCCUUUCAAGUUUUUGCACUGAGCUUUGCCUCAGCACAUCGGUGUUUAGAUGUUUUUUUCUUCUUCUUUUUCUUAACGUCAGUUAAUAGUUAAUCAUACAGAUAGAACUAUCUGUUACCCAGGUUCCCCGCAGCAGUAGUGAAGGGCUUCGUUCCAGAUGUGGUUUCCUGUGUUGCAGACUGUUUUACCCUCGAGCACUGCGACAAGUUGCCAGCACAGGACUGGGGAAGAAAAUAUGUUACUGGGCUUGAUCACUCCACCUUCGUGCAUCAGCAAAGACUUGUACUAUGCUCUGUUGUGUCAUCUGUUCUGAUGCAUGUGUGGAGAUUAAAUGUAGUCAAGAUAUCCAAAAAGCUGCUCAAAUCUCCUCUGUAUCCUUUUCACUGCUCUCUUUAACCUGUAUCCUGACCCACCACUAUAACCUUCUGAAAACCUUCCAACCUUUUGUUGCAUGCCUGCCCUAUAUUACAAAUAUUCCAGGUAGUUAUGAGCACCCCUUUCUCUCUGUAUCUGUGGUUUUUGUGCAUUAUCCCAAGCACACCACUGAGCCAUCAGGAUGAAUCAGUAAAGCUAUGCAAAAUGCUGGCCUGAAAAACUCUAGUCUGUGAGGCCAUUAAUAAGGAAGAAAUUGUUCCAGAGGGCACAUAAGAUGAUUUUUCAAUAAAUGUUCAGUAUGCUCCCAUGGAUUUUAGCACAAUGUGCCAAUGUUGUAAUAUACACACAGACACAGAGCUUAAAGCUGGUGUAAGAACCACUAUGGAAUAGGGAAGAAGGAUGGUUUCUGAGACACAGACUUUCAGAAAAAGCCAAAAAUCAAAUUAAAAACUUUCUGUAUGUUUCAGGUACCAAUUCAAUGAGAUGAUCUCUGGACAUUUUCAGAAUUAGUUUAGACUACUGAUAGUCCAUGAAAAGCAGGUAAGAUCCCCACUGCAAUGGUAAGUAGCAUUUGAAAAUUUCAGCGUGCUUUGCUGCAGCCAACCAGCUCAUUGUCAAAAAUCACAGUCACACUGAGAUUAAAGGAAUUCUAAGCAAAUAACAAUGCUAGAUACAAUUCAGUGUGGUUAUAUAAUGAAAUAAAACAUUAAGAAGGUUUUUUUUUGCUUGUUUGUGGGUUGGUUGGUUUUGUUUGGUUGUUUUGUUUUUUCUCCUCCUCCUAAAUGAAGUGUAGUGGCAUGGUGCUGAUUUUUGAAAAUUAAUUUUAUUUUCCUUAGUUGUACCAGUUUUGAUUUUCCCAUCAGUUCUCCUAUGUAGGGUCACCUGACAGAUUUAUUGUUGUUGUUUUGUUUUUAGGGAAAGGAACAUGUCCUGGAAAAAAUGCUCAUUUACAUGGAUAUGGACUAGUGUGCUUUCAGGAGAGAUUAUUUUAAAAGUCUAAGAGAAGUAAUUCUACAGACACUAAAGAAAAUGCAGGGGUUCCCUAUGUUUAGCACUCUCAGGCUACUUUGAUAAUCUCAGUUUAGGCCAAUAUAACAUAGAAUUCUCACCAGACCAAGCGUGUCACCCCACCCAGUGCCUGAAAACUGUACCAGUUGCCAGGCCAGUUCUUGCUUCUUCUUCACUGGUUGUUUAGCAGGUGGGUGCAGAGUGUGAGUGAGUUCUUGUGGCAGCACAAGUGCUGUCUACACAGAAAUAAAGCGAACAGCCAGUUUAAUGUGAAGCACUCAAUACUGACUCCGUGCUAUGGGGACUGCAGAGCAAUUGUUAUAUGUGCAUAUGCAGCUGGUAGACAUUUUCACAUAUCUGUAUCUUCUGGGACCUUUAGAAUUAGCCCAAAUAGAAAGCUCUUAAUUUAUCCCUAUACAAUUCAUGUGGCUGGAUGGCCCUGAAUGAAUGGUGCUAAAACCACACUGGAGGUAAUUCAAAAUACAUUGGUGUUUUUGGUUUUUUUUUGACCACUUGCAUACAUUGUAUUUCAGGAAUACUUCAAAUACUGAUAGUUUGUGUCCUCGAGAGUAUUUUGGGAGUUUGGUUUGGUUGUGAGCGUUUUAUUUUGUUACUUUUUUUUUUUUAACCAUUAAAAAUAACAUUUAAGAGUUACUCUUUAUCAACUAUUUAUCUAAAAAAGCACAGUUUAAAGUUCCUACUAGUUACUACACUGUCCCAGCGUCGAUGCAGAACUCCACUGCUAUGCUGUGUACCACAGCUUCCCUCAUUCUUGUCCCCCAAAAAUGUAAAGCAAAGCUCCCAGAGCUUCCCCAAGACCCUCCGUGAGGCCCCUCCAGGUGUUUGCUGUGGCAAAAGGGGUGGUAUUUUAACCUUUCUCUUCCUAGAGAUAUCUUUCCACAACUGUUUCAUUUAUGCAUCAAUCCUAUAAAUGUCUGAACUUAAAUCCUGAUUUGAGUUUUGGAGUUGCUAAUUGCUUCUGUUUUGUAAAUAUGAGUGGCUUAUCUGACUGGAGGCUGACAAACAUGUGCUAAUGGAUCUAUCACUUAGUAGUAGAAGACCAGUUUAAAUGUGGGAAUCAAAUAGAAAACUGACCAGUGGGGUUUACAAGAAAGUGACUAAAGCAGAAAAGCCAAGAGGGCCUCAUAUCAAGGAAAAAAACUCAAUAAUCAAAUGGGUUAUGACACUUCCCUAAAAGCUAUAGUCACAAACCCAACACAGGUGUUGUCUGAAUCAUAAAACAGAUUCUAUCAACAGAUUUACACAAUUUCAUAAAAGAAGGAUGAAGAGUUUUGAACAAGUUUGUCUGUUGAAGAGUGAAAUGGAAAAGAGCUAAAGAGCUAAGAUAACAAGAGAUAUUUGAAAAAGAAAACCCCAGCUCUGCUGCCUUACGUUUCCAUGUUUGGAAAAAGUAAUACAUAUGAAGAUAUAUACACAAUAGAUGUAUCUUCUAAAAUGAUAGUGACUUCCUUUUUGCACAAGUCUCUAGUGCACUUUCUGGGGGAUCAGGAAAGAGUGGCAAAGGGAAAGAACUAAGUAAGUUUCAUAGCCUAAAAAUGUGUAGAGUCAUUAUGAUUAAUAAAUAAGAAAGAUACAGGGGAGUUGAGAGGCUUGCUCCUGAAAUAUAUUUUGCUCCAUUUUAUUUUCCAGAGAAGUUCCAUAAAAUUAUGCCAGUGAAGAUCUUUUAUAAUGCUAUGAAUUAUGAAAAUAUUAAGACAAAAUGCAAAUUAAAACAGAAAUCACACCAAAAGAAAAUCCCUGAAAAGUUUUCCCAGGAAAUUCUAGCUUUCACAUUUCUUGAAAAUUUAUUUAUGUUUCAAUAUUGCUCUAUUAAAUGGAAAAAUGAUUUAUUAUUGCCACAAUCACUAGAAAUUUGUGAAAAUCUGUGCUGUGAAAAGGAAGAAAGGGGAAAAAAACAGGUAGACUCAAACAUUGUUUUUUAAUUGUGAAAUUGUGUUUAAUCUUGGUAUAAAUCAGUUGAAUAUUAUCUGUGUAAGGAAGUAAAGUUAGUAGUUUGAGCAAGUCUGCAUUAAGCCAGGAAAGUUAGUAAGAUCAGAGUGUUAAUCUGUAUUUUGUUUUUAACCAUUAAAAAUAUAUGUAACUUUCCUAUUUUGAAUAGCAUCUGUUUAGCAAGGAAACAACCCCAGCAUUAGUGAGAGUGCUGUAAUUAAGUCUCUUUAUUUUUCCAUUAAGGUGCUGAGCAAGAACGGGGCUCUUGCUUCUCCCGUGGGAAGCAAUCCCAAACACGACGUUGUGUCUGUUGCUGCUUCCUUAUGGCCUGUUCUCUCAGAAGAGUUCUUUAGGCUCCGGCUUUUGUCACAAGGGUCAAAAAGAUGUUUGUUUGGUAAAGGUGGGACAGUCACAUGCGUGUAUCUGCGUGUGUGUGUGCAUGUGCACUGAGAAAAAAAACAACCAACCAACCAAAACAGAUCACGUUUUAAGCCACACG
This is an RNA transcript of Calidris pugnax (ruff), 6642 nucleotides long. RefSeq lists it as uncharacterized. NCBI's taxonomy places the organism in Eukaryota, Metazoa, Chordata, Aves, Charadriiformes, Scolopacidae. The transcript is spliced from 3 exons. The record is from RefSeq and is a predicted model, not a curated record.